This 403-nucleotide ribosomal RNA is filed under the name uncultured bacterium. RNAcentral describes it as "partial 16S ribosomal RNA". It matches the Rfam family "Bacterial small subunit ribosomal RNA", at positions 30 to 526 of the family's 1533-position model. The record is from RNAcentral.
AUUGAACGCUGGCGGCAGGCCUAACACAUGCAAGUCGAGCGAGCGGCGGGCGGGUGAGUACUGUAUGGGGACUGCCCGAUAGAGGGGGAUAACUACUGGAAACGGUGGUUAAUACCGCAUCCUGUCGGACAAACCAUAUGGGAUUAGCUAGUUGGUUAGGUAAUGGCCUACAUAGGCGACGAUCCCUAGCUGGUCUGAGAGGAUGAUCAGCCACACUGGUACUGAGACACGGCCCAGACUCCUACGGAGGCAGCAGUGGGGAAUAUUGCACAAUGGGCGAAAGCCUGAUGCAGCCAUGCCGCGUGUAUGAAGAAGGCCCUAGGGUUGUAAAGUACUUUCAGUCGGGAGGCGUUACCGACAGAAGAAGCACCGGCUAACUCCGUGCCAGCCGCCGCGGUAAUUC